GAACCUUUAUUCUUGGUUUUUCUUUUUGGUGGGUAUCUGGGUCUAUGAAUUUUCUUUUUGCCAUUGGUAUUGAUCACCGAACAUAUGCAUUGAACUGUGAUUUGUUUACCUGGUGCAGUGUCUUAGUUUGUUAUGUAAUGUCCUGCAUGGCAUGGAGAGCUAUCCCGGUUAUGAGUUUCUCCAUUGCUUUCUCAGUUCUUGAAUUUAUCUUUUGGUUCUAUACUUGAAUUUUUAAUUCUUGAAUUUAUCCAAUCGAUUUUUACUGAUCUUUUAUUUUCUCUCCUGUUACAUCAGCCAUUUAACUUUUAUUCAUUUGCAAACAUAGUUUCUUCUGUAUUAAAUUUCUCUGGACUUGAUCACUGAACAGUAAGGAUUGGAUUGUUAUUUUGUGUCUCUGCUCCAGUCUUUGGAUUAGUUUCGAGAGCCUGUUACGAGUUUAUCCAUUGGGUUUUUCGUUCUUGAAUUUAUGAAUUGUUCCUGCAUAGCAUCGAGGCUGUAAUGAGGUUAUCUAUUAGUUUUUCAUUCUUGAGUGUAUGGAUUCAUCGUAACUUGGUUUUCUAGUAAGACAUUCUUGGUCUUUGCAAGGAAGACAACCAAUAUAUCAUGUGAAGGUAUUUAGAUGACAGAUAUAUAUAUCAAAUAUUUGUAUCCAUUCUUUUUCAAGCACUGAACAAGCAAUGUUGAUUUCUAUCUUCAUCGAGUCUUGUGCUUGUGUAUUUUCCUUAUGGUUUCUGUACUUUUUAAUCUUGUAAGAGAUUAUUUUUUUUCGAUUUAAUUCUUCUUGCUUUCCUCUUGAGCUUUGUAGGGAGGCAAUGGAUGUGUGCUGUAGGUUUGAGAAGCAGUGGAUGAAAAUCCUGUGAAACUGUAAGUUUUAUUAGAAGUAUUCGUUUUAUUUGACACCCACAAAAGUACCUCUUCUAAUUGAAAGAAACUUAGCCAUUACGGUUUUUGAAUUUUUGUGAGUUUCAUCACGUCUGUGUCAGCCAUUCCCUUCUUGAAACUGUUGCGGGUAAGCACUUUUCCCUCCUGUUCUCUCUUUUCGUCCACACUUAUACUUUUCUUUCUGCAAUUGGGUCAUCUUAUUGUAAAGAGUUUCGUUUCCUUCUAUUUUAAUUUGUUCUUUUACAGACUCGUAAAAUUUUCUUAGCUAUAGAGCCAUGUUAUUUUCAAAAUAAUCUUUCUUUCUUACUUUAUAUAUUUUCCCUAUUAAUUUUGGUUUUUCAUAGUUAUGCUAUUUCUAUCCGAUCAUUCCGUUUUUGUGCUCUGUUAAUUGUAGUUGUCGCGGUUUUUCAUGUGAGGAUUGAGUCCCAUGCUUUUCACUUUUAUAAAAAUAUAUCAGGGCUUGCACUAUUUGCAUUUAUUUGUUUGCAGCAAGUAGAGUCUUUGUUUUCUUAAUUAUUCUCCAUUACUUGGGCUCUACAGGGAAGACUUAUUAUGAAUGUUUGUUAGGUCGUGGAGGCUAUGGCAGUUGAUUAUUGGACUUCUUGUGAGGCUUUAGGUUUUAUCUUUAUGUUUUAUCUUUAUGUUCGAAUUGGAAUUGCUUUAGUCUCUCUUGUUAGUUGAAUAGGAAGGUACGUAUGUCUGUCAAUUUUUUGGUGUUGAUUCUUGAUGCAACGAAUUGGAAGAAGAUUUAGAACUGCUAACGACCCAGGUUAUUUUAUUUCUGACAAAUCCAGGAGUUGGUUGAACUGUUUGCAUUCAUAGCAUUAGCAUUCUAGGUGAUUUCCCUUGCCGAUUGAAUAUUAAAAUUGUACAAGAGUUUAGAAUGACUUACAACUCUCAAUAAUCUAAUUCUUUCUGAGUUUCCUUUGUAUUAAUUGUUCUGUCCUGGUGUUGACAAUUAUAUGGUCACUCGAAACUGGUAUUUUCUUUGUGUUUUGUUCUUUGGUUGUUUUCCUUGCCAUUUCCAUACAUAUCAGGAAUUAUUCCAAUCUUAACGGCACUAGUUUUUGGAGUGGAGUAGCAUGGCACGACUUUGUUGCUUUGCAAUUUCGAUAGCAUUUUUUAUAUGAUCUAUUCCAAUUUGAAUGGGACAUCCUUUUUCUUAAAAAUCCUUUUGGAAUAGUAUUUGUUUAAGCACUACCAUGAAACUGGAAAGUAACAUGAAAGGGCAACUUCUCAAGAUAACCUAAUUUCUUUUACUUGUUUCUUCUACUAUUAUUUGAGAUUGAUAUAGUUGACCAUCGAACAUUAGGAUUGAGUUGUGAUUUGUUUCUUUGCAGCAGGGUUUGAAUUAGUUUCCUGUCAUGACUUGUAUCUCAUAGAGUCUGUUAUGAACGACUAUGUUGUCUCUAUUGUUUUUGAAGCCUAUAAUUUAUUAUUCAUCAUUGGAUGUGGAAACUUUGGCAGCAGAUCUUCAGAACUUUUUAUGUGAUGAUGGAGAUCUAUUUGAAUUUGAAUGUAGGUUCUAUGUUUGAUUACGUCUAGGUGUUGAACUGGUUUGUUUUCAUCGUAAACUAAUUUCUUUUAAGUUUCCUCUCUAUUUGGUUUCUCGGGAUUUGAUUCUUUGUUUGAAAGUUCUAUAAAGUUGAAUUUUAAUAGUGGUAAUUAGCAACCGGUUCUUGAUAAUCUAUCAAUUUUCGUUUUCAUAUCGUCCUUUUCUCUCUUCAAUUUCAUUGGGUUGAUUGUUCAAUUUUGUGAUUCUUGAUUAUCUUACUUCUGUUUUGAAGUUGUGAAAAUUAAUUUUUUAUUUUCUUAGGUUAUUUGAAAAGAUGAAUGUUUUCAGUGGUGUUUGAAUUUGUUGUGUAACGUAGUGCACAAUGAAUAUGGGACAUGUGGGAGUAGGGCUUUGAUUCUUUGUUUGAAAGUUCUAUAAAGUUGAAUUUUAGUAGUGGUAAUCUAUCAUGUGGACUGUUCGUUUUCAUAUUGUCCUUUUCUCUCUUUACUUUCAUUGAGUUGAUUGUUUAAUUUUGUGAUUCUUAUUAUCCCACUUCUGUUUUGAAGUUCUAUAAAAUUAUUUUUUAAUUUUUUGAGGUGUUUUGAAAAGAUGAAACUUUUCAAUGGUGUUUGGAUUUGUUCUGUAUCGUAGUGUACAAUGAAUAUGGGACAUGUGGAGUAGGGCUUUGAUUCUUUGUUUGAAAGUUCUAUAAAGUUGAAUUUUAAUAGUGGUAAUUAACAAUCGAUUCUUGAUAAUCUAUCAAUUUUCAUUUUCAUAUCGUCCUUUUCUCUCUUCAAUUUCAUUGGGUUGAUUGUUCAAUUUUGUGAUUCUUGAUUAUCUUACUUCUGUUUUGAAGUUGUGAAAAUUAAUUUUUUAUUUUCUUAGGUUAUUUGAAAAGAUGAAUGUUUUCAGUGAUGUUUGAAUUUGUUGUGUAACGUAGUGCACAAUGAAUAUGGGACAUGUGAGGGUAGGGCUUUGACUCUUUGUUUGAAAGUUCUAUAAAGUUGAAUUUUAGUAGUGGUAAUUAGCAACCGGUUCUUGAUAAUCUAUCACGUGGACUUUUCGUUUUCAUAUUAUCCUUUUCUCUCUUCACUUUCAUUGGGUUGAUUGUUCAAUUUUGUGAUUCUUGAUUAUCUCACUUCUGUUUUGAAGUUCUGAAAAUUAAUUUUUUAUUUUCUUAGGUGUUUUGAAAAGAUAAAUCUUUUCAAUGGUGUUUCGAUUUGUUGUGUAAUGUAGUGCAUAGUGAAUACGGGACAUGUGGGGUAGGGCUUUGACUCUUUGUUUGAAAGUUCUAUAAAGUUAAAUUUUAGUAGUGGUAAUUAGCAACCGGUUCUUGAUAAUCUAUUAUGUGGACCUUUCUUUUUCAUAUUGUAAUUUUCUCUCUUCACUUUCAUUGGGUUGAUUAUUCAAUUUUGUAAUUCUUGAUUAUCUCACUUCAUUUUUGAAAUUCUGAUAAUUAAUUUUUUAUUUUCUUAGGUGUUUUGAAAAGAUGAAUCUUGAACAUUCCAUUCAUUUUAUUAGUGCAAAUUAAAAGGACGGACCUUGCAGUCAUUCCUUUCAUUUUAAUGGUUUAGGAUUUCUUUUGCGGACAUGUACUUCGUCUUCUAUUUAAAUCAUGGACGGGCUCUAUAGAGAAGACAAGCUACAAGCUAUGAAGUGUGAGAGGAAAUUUUGUGCAGUGUGAAGCACUUGGCGUUCUGAGAAGACUGGGAUGCUCUCGUUAAUAAGUAGGUCCAAGAUGAGCCAGUUACCCUUUUGCCUCCUCUUACAAAGGCUUUAAAGUUUGCUUUUAAGGUAGAAAUAAAUUAUGUCAGUCGUAAAUAUUACUUCUACGAAGAUCGACCAAAAUUUCCGUUGUACUGAAAUUGUCGACCUACCUACAUCAUGUCUAGGGCCUGGCCCGAUAUGACUCCCGAGGAAUUAUCUGCCUUGAUAUAUUCUAAAAUAAAUUCCUCGAAAAUUUCCUACCUGAAAACUUCUCUAGGCGUAUGGAUCUUCCAGAAUGUGGAAGGAUCUCUGUGAUAUUAUGGUGUCCAAGAGCCCUAGAGAUAAAGCUUUGUUCAAACAUAUAUUCAACAAAUACCAAUCGACGUCGGAUGAGGCAACUAGGAAACUGACCGUCGCGGUGGUUACAAAUGUUGUGCCUUUGCAAAAGGA
This is a long non-coding RNA of Vigna angularis (adzuki bean), 4534 nucleotides long. RefSeq lists it as uncharacterized. NCBI's taxonomy places the organism in Eukaryota, Viridiplantae, Streptophyta, Magnoliopsida, Fabales, Fabaceae. The record is from RefSeq and is a predicted model, not a curated record. The transcript is spliced from 5 exons.